UACGUAGGGGGCGAGCGUUGUCCGGAAUCACUGGGCGUAAAGGGUACGUAGGCGGCUAGGUAAGUCAGAUGUGAAAGGCAUGGGCUUAACCCAUGUAAGCAUUUGAAACUGCUUAGCUUGAGUCGAGGAGAGGAAGGCGGAAUUCCUGGUGUAGCGGUGAAAUGCGUAGAUAUCAGGAGGAACACCAGUGGCGAAGGCGGCCUUCUGGCCUUGGACUGACGCUGAGGUACGAAAGCGUGGGGAGCAAACAGG
RNAcentral lists this ribosomal RNA (252 nucleotides) under uncultured bacterium. RNAcentral's name for it is "partial 16S ribosomal RNA". It matches the Rfam family "Bacterial small subunit ribosomal RNA", at positions 524 to 776 of the family's 1533-position model. The record is from RNAcentral. RNAcentral also lists the same sequence under 1 other name.